RNAcentral lists this ribosomal RNA (1450 nucleotides) under uncultured organism. RNAcentral describes it as "SSU rRNA". It matches the Rfam family "Bacterial small subunit ribosomal RNA". The record is from RNAcentral.
ACGCUGGCGGCGUGCUUAACACAUGCAAGUCGAACGAAGAUAUUUAGAAUGAGAGCUUCGGCAGGAUUUUUAUCUAUCUUAGUGGCGGACGGGUGAGUAACGUGUGGGCAACCUGCCCUGUACUGUGGAAUAAUCAUUGGAAACGAUGACUAAUACCGCAUGUGGUCCUCGGAAGGCAUCUUCUGAGGAAGAAAGGAUUUAUUCGGUACAGGAUGGGCCCGCAUCUGAUUAGCUAGUUGGUGAGAUAACAGCCCACCAAGGCGACGAUCAGUAGCCGACCUGAGAGGGUGAUCGGCCACAUUGGGACUGAGACACGGCCCAAACUCCUACGGGAGGCAGCAGUGGGGAAUAUUGCACAAUGGGCGAAAGCCUGAUGCAGCAACGCCGCGUGAAGGAUGAAGGGUUUCGGCUCGUAAACUUCUAUCAAUAGGGAAGAAACAAAUGACGGUACCUAAAUAAGAAGCCCCGGCUAACUACGUGCCAGCAGCCGCGGUAAUACGUAGGGGGCAAGCGUUAUCCGGAAUUACUGGGUGUAAAGGGAGCGUAGGCGGCAUGGUAAGCCAGAUGUGAAAGCCUUGGGCUUAACCCGAGGAUUGCAUUUGGAACUAUCAAGCUAGAGUACAGGAGAGGAAAGCGGAAUUCCUAGUGUAGCGGUGAAAUGCGUAGAUAUUAGGAAGAACACCAGUGGCGAAGGCGGCUUUCUGGACUGAAACUGACGCUGAGGCUCGAAAAGCGUGGGGAGCAAACAGGAUUAGAUACCCUGGUAGUCCACGCCGUAAACGAUGAGUGCUAGGUGUCGGGGAGGAAUCCUCGGUGCCGCAGCUAACGCAAUAAGCACUCCACCUGGGGAGUACGACCGCAAGGUUGAAACUCAAAGGAAUUGACGGGGGCCCGCACAAGCGGUGGAGCAUGUGGUUUAAUUCGAAGCAACGCGAAGAACCUUACCAAGGCUUGACAUCCCGAUGACCGUCCUAGAGAUAGGACUUCUCUUCGGAGCAUCGGUGACAGGUGGUGCAUGGUUGUCGUCAGCUCGUGUCGUGAGAUGUUGGGUUAAGUCCCGCAACGAGCGCAACCCUUAUCUUCAGUAGCCAUCAUUCAGUUGGGCACUCUGGAGAGACUGCCGUGGAUAACACGGAGGAAGGUGGGGAUGACGUCAAAUCAUCAUGCCCCUUAUGUCUUGGGCUACACACGUGCUACAAUGGCUGGUAACAAAGUGACGCGAGACGGCGACGUUAAGCAAAUCACAAAAACCCAGUCCCAGUUCGGAUUGUAGUCUGCAACUCGACUACAUGAAGCUGGAAUCGCUAGUAAUCGCGAAUCAGCAUGUCGCGGUGAAUACGUUCCCGGGCCUUGUACACACCGCCCGUCACACCAUGGGAGUUGGAAGCACCCGAAGUCGGUGACCUAACCGUAAGGAAGGAGCCACCGAAGGUGAAGCCAGUGACCGGGG